GCCAGACUCCUACGGGAGGCAGCAGUGGGGGAUAUUGCACAAUGGGGGAAACCCUGAUGCAGCGACGCCGCGUGGGUGAAGAAGCGCCUCGGCGCGUAAAGCCCUGUCAGCAGGGAAGAAAAUGACGGUACCUGAAGAAGAAGCCCCGGCUAACUACGUGCCAGCAGCCGCGGUAAUACGUAGGGGGCAAGCGUUAUCCGGGUUUACUGGGUGUAAAGGGAGCGUAGGUGGCAGUGCAAGUCAGAAGUGAAAGCCCGGGGCUCAACGCCGGGACUGCUUUUGAAACGGUACAGCUUGAUUGCAGGAGAGGCAAGUGGAAUUCCUAGUGUAGCGGUGAAAUGCGUAGAUAUUAGGAGGAACACCAGUGGCGAAGGCGGCUUGCUGGACUGUAAAUGACGCUGAGGCUCGAAAGCGUGGGGAGCAAACAGGAUUAGAUACCCCCGUAC
Molecule: ribosomal RNA, 446 nt
Filed under: uncultured bacterium
Lineage: Bacteria
Description: partial 16S ribosomal RNA
Rfam family: Bacterial small subunit ribosomal RNA
Source: RNAcentral